Molecule: long non-coding RNA, 809 nt
Organism: Candoia aspera
Lineage: Eukaryota; Metazoa; Chordata; Lepidosauria; Squamata; Candoiidae
Exons: 2
Source: RefSeq, a predicted model, not a curated record
ACAGUGUCCAUGUGAUGCAAUUUAGGCAGAGGGAUUAUAAUUUGCCAGAGGCCAUUCUAUGAGCAGCAGAUGUACAAAAUACUUUGAUCCUGAAUGACCCUGUCCAAAAUCAACUGUUUGGGUCAUGACUUCCUCCUACCAUUUCCUGUGACUGCUGACAGUUUUAACUCACGCUAGUUACAGGCUCACGCCUUGAACAUUUUGUUUCUCAAGUACCUACUCUUCCUGCAGAAUGGAGAUAAUACUUAACUUACCUACAGUACCUCUAUGGGGUAUUAUGCAGCUUAAUUAAUGUUUGCAAAAUAAAAAAAACCUUCUGAAAUCCAUAAAUGAGUGCAAAAAUAAUCAUUUUAUAUUUCAAUUUCACUCUUUAAUUAACAGACUGCCAAACACAUUUUCCAAGCCGCUAACCUGUCUAACAUGAACAAUUUAAAAAUAACGAAAGUGAAGAUUUUUUUAAAAUGAGCUUUAAAAAAUAUGACCAUUACUGAGUUUGAUUCUCUGCUCAGCAAACAAAGCUUCGGGAGCCAACUCACCUUUUGGCUUUGCUUUUAUAGGACACCUGCCUUGGCCCUUUAAAGAUGAUUGUAGUGGGAAUGCAUUCAGUGGUUAUGGCAUACAGCUACUGAUUUAUCAAGCAUUCAAUAUUUUGAAUGGAAUUUCAAACAGCAGACGCUUGCUUUUCCUUCUUCCUGCUCCUGUGUUCUAGAGAAUUAAUCAUUUGCUGUAUGCUGUGAGCAAGAAAAAAUAAUUACACAUGCUGUAUCUCAGACCCUUCAUAAUUACACUUUAAAUUGGUUUACUAUGAA